UGAUCCUGGCUCAGGAUGAACGCUAGCGGCAGGCUUAAUACAUGCAAGUCGAGGGGUAACAGGCCGCUUCGGUGGUGCUGACGACCGGCGCACGGGUGCGUAACGCGUAUGCAACCUACCUUUAACUGGGACAUAGCCCCGAGAAAUCGGGAUUAAUAUCCCAUAAUAUCCAGAAAACGCAUGUUUUCUGGAUUAAAGUUCCGGCGGUUAAAGAUGGGCAUGCGUGGCAUUAGUUAGUUGGUGAGGUAACGGCUCACCAAGGCAAUGAUGCCUAGGGGUCCUGAGAGGGUUUUCCCUCACACUGGUACUGAGACACGGACCAGACUCCUACGGGAGGCAGCAGUAAGGAAUAUUGGGCAAUAGGCGCAAGCCUGACCCAGCCAUGCCGCGUGCAGGAUGACGGCCCUAUGGGUUGUAAACUGCUUUUGUAUGGGAAAAAACUCCCGCACGUGUGCGGGACUGAUUGUACCAUACGAAUAAGCAUCGGCUAACUCCGUGCCAGCAGCCGCGGUAAUACGGAGGAUGCAAGCGUUAUCCGGAUUUAUUGGGUUUAAAGGGUGCGCAGGCGGAUUAGUAAGUCAGUGGUGAAAGCUCCCGGCUCAACCGGGAAAAUGCCAUUGAUACUGUUAAUCUUGAGUACAGUUGAGGUUGGCGGAAUGUAUCAUGUAGCGGUGAAAUGCAUAGAUAUGAUACAGAACACCGAUAGCGAAGGCAGCUUACCAAACUGUAACUGACGCUCAUGCACGAAAGCGUGGGGAGCAAACAGGAUUAGAUACCCUGGUAGUCCACGCUGUAAACUAUGAUCACUCGCUGUUGGCGAUACACUGUCAGCGGCUUAGCGAAACGUGUUAGGUGAUCCACCUGGGGAGUACGAUCGC
Molecule: ribosomal RNA, 878 nt
Filed under: uncultured organism
Description: bacterial SSU rRNA
Rfam family: Bacterial small subunit ribosomal RNA
Source: RNAcentral